AGCGUAGGCGGAAUCGUAAGUUAGGAGUGUAAUAUCCGGGCUUAACCCGGAUCUUGCUUUUAAUACUGCGGUUCUUGAGUUUGGAAGAGGGAGAUGGAAUUCCAGGUGUAGCGGUGGAAUGCGUAGAUAUCUGGAAGAACACCAGUAGCGAAGGCGGUCUCCUGGUCCUAUACUGACGCUGAGGCUCGAAAGUUAGGGGAGCAAACA
RNAcentral lists this ribosomal RNA (207 nucleotides) under uncultured bacterium. RNAcentral's name for it is "partial 16S ribosomal RNA". It matches the Rfam family "Bacterial small subunit ribosomal RNA", at positions 568 to 774 of the family's 1533-position model. The record is from RNAcentral.